GUAAUCAUCUGGAAGAAAAACUAAGUCCUCAAUCCUCUUACUCUGAAAUUCAGAGUUACUAAAAUCUGCCAGAGGGGACUUUGGUGACCCUUUGAUGCCUGUGAUAGGAAGCACAAAAAACUCACUGCAAUAAAAGUCCCCGUGAGGUUAGAAAGAGCUGGCAGCAGUGGGCUUGCUUCAGCACUACGCGAAAGCAAAUAAAGGUCCCUGGUCCAUGAGAAGCCCUGGCCCAACUUCCAGAAAGGCAAACUUCCAGAGAACGGCAGUGUUGGGGAUGCUGAGCUGCCGUGGCUCGGAGCUAGGGGUGAUCUGGACGGAGAGCACCUUGGCAUCAGGACCAUCAGCCUCUGUCCCAAGUCUUGCCCGCCAGACUCUCAGCAGGCAGCGAGACCUAGCUCCGGGGGACAGAAUUGAGCAGAAACUUCUCUGCACGCAGCGCAGGUUUCCACUGGAGCAAGCGGGCAGCAUCCGGGAGCACACGCCGAAGACUUCAGGCUCCAGCAGGUAGUGUCUGGCACACUCCGGUGCUAAGGAACUGUUUGUUGAGUGAACAAAGAGUUGGAGAAGCGAGAAGGGGCUGACAAGUCUUCCUAAUGCGAAAAUCAAGCUUUUAAGGUGAGUGACUGUCUAUUUUUGCCUAACUUUGAGACAAGUCCUAAUUAUCAGACUUGUUUGAAUGUCUGUCCCCUACCAGUAUUGUUCUUCUGGUACUUUCUCAAGGAAUCACUAGCUAGGUACUCCUUAGCAUUGACUGCGAAUUUAUAUACCAAGGCAGUGACAAUUCUGACCAUAAAGUUAAAAGACACCUUGAAAAUAACUGUAUUUCCCUACUUUUUGGCAAAAUCACAUCUAAGCCACCCAAAGCAGAGAAGAGGCUAAUCCUUAUUUACAGAUGUUAAUCUUUACUUAAGUCCAUGAUUAAAGAAGUUAAUCC
This 934-nucleotide long non-coding RNA is filed under the name Mustela putorius furo (domestic ferret). RNAcentral describes it as "lncRNA (ENSMPUG00000031270.1)". Lineage: Eukaryota; Metazoa; Chordata; Mammalia; Carnivora; Mustelidae. The record is from RNAcentral.